This 400-nucleotide transfer-messenger RNA is filed under the name Prevotellaceae bacterium. It matches the Rfam family "transfer-messenger RNA". Rfam says of the family: Bacterial tmRNA, also known as 10Sa RNA or SsrA, is named for its dual tRNA and mRNA-like properties. Its role is to liberate the mRNA from a stalled ribosome. Lineage: Bacteria; Pseudomonadati; Bacteroidota; Bacteroidia; Bacteroidales; Prevotellaceae. The record is from RNAcentral.
GGGGCUGUUUGGUUUUGACAGCGGGUAGAAGUGGUUUGUAAGCAUGCAGUGCGUUGUCGAAUAGCACUUUAAUCAUAGACGGCAAAAUUUAACUGGCGAAGAAAACACUUACGCUAUGGCUGCCUAAUCGAAGUAUAGUAGAUUGAUGGCUUAAUCGCGGCACAAGGUGCUGCGACCAUACAUCGCUCAAAAGCUACGCUCCGAAGCGUUUGACAAAGCGGUGUAGGAAAAUCGGAGAUAACUGCGGCAAGCCUCGUUGCGGCAGCGAAAAUUUAGAGGAUAAGGGUGCGAUUGGUGGCUUCGGUCUUGUCACACCACGAAAAUAAAGGCGAAGAUAAGCAUGUAGAAAGCAGGUUAAUUCCUCGUUUGGACACGGGUUCGACUCCCGUCAGCUCCACUU